GGGACCGCCGAGCCGCUCACUGAAGCAUCUGGGCCCCCUGGGGCGGACGGCAGGGGGCUGCGGGGCGCGGGGCGCAACCGUUCUCACCGCAGGGAGGUGUUACUAUCGUCCUAAUCCGAGGGGAUUCUUCCUGUGGGUAGAAUGGAACGGGUGUCCUGAGUGUCUUUGUAAGGGAUCCUGAUACCCCGCCAAAGCCCGGGCAGUCAGAAUCUCACUUUUUGUUUUUGUUUCUGUUUGUUUUUAAAAUUACAAAAGCUUCCUGUCCCCGUGGUCUGGAGGAAACUGUAAUUAUUCUUUCUUCUUGGAGACAGUUGGAAAAGGUGUCCACUGCCCGAUGCCGUUGUUUAAAAAGCAAGCGAGUCUGACCAAGUUCCUCAAGCUUUUCAGAAAAGACAGAAGAAAAUAAGUGAAACCGUUCUUGCUUGCUUCAGGGUGAACUUUUCCAAAGGCCUUCAAGUUCACAGACCCGCUUGGAUUUUGACCGUCUUAAUAAAAAGUGCAUGGUACAGGUCCUUCCUGAA
This is a long non-coding RNA of Suricata suricatta (meerkat), 521 nucleotides long. RefSeq lists it as uncharacterized. The transcript is spliced from 2 exons. Lineage: Eukaryota; Metazoa; Chordata; Mammalia; Carnivora; Herpestidae. The record is from RefSeq and is a predicted model, not a curated record.